RNAcentral lists this ribosomal RNA (253 nucleotides) under uncultured bacterium. RNAcentral describes it as "partial 16S ribosomal RNA". It matches the Rfam family "Bacterial small subunit ribosomal RNA", at positions 524 to 776 of the family's 1533-position model. The record is from RNAcentral.
GACAGAGGGUGCAAACGUUGCUCGGAAUCACUGGGCGUAAAGGGCGUGUAGGCGGGAAGGAAAGUCAGAUGUGAAAUCCCCAGGCUCAACCUGGGAACUGCAUUUGAAACUCCCUUUCUUGAGUACCGGAGAGGAAAGCGGAAUUCCUGGUGUAGAGGUGAAAUUCGUAGAUAUCAGGAGGAACACCAGCGGCGAAGGCGGUGCUCUGGGCCGGAACUGACGCUGAGGAGCGAAAGCGUGGGGAGCGAACAGG